UACGGAGGUGGCAAGCGUUGCUCGGAAUCACUGGGCGUAAAGGGCGCGUAGGCGGGGAGGUAAGUCGGGUGUGAAAUCCCUCGGCCCAACCGAGGAACUGCGCCCGAGACUGCUUCUCUUGAGUCCCGGAGAGGAAGGUGGAAUUCCCGGUGUAGCGGUGAAAUGUGUAGAGAUCGGGAGGAACACCGGUGGCGAAGGCGGCCUUCUGGACGGUGACUGACGCUGAGGCGCGAAAGCGUGGGGAGCAAACGGGAUUAGAUACCCCGGUAGUCCACGCUGUAAACGAUGGGUGCUAGGUGUGGGGGGUAUCGACCCCUCCCGUGCCGAAGCUAACGCAUUAAGCACCCCGCCUGGGGAGUACGGCCGCAAGGUUGAAACUCAAAUGAAUUGACGG
This 394-nucleotide ribosomal RNA is filed under the name uncultured bacterium. Its description in RNAcentral is "bacterial SSU rRNA". It matches the Rfam family "Bacterial small subunit ribosomal RNA", at positions 524 to 916 of the family's 1533-position model. The record is from RNAcentral.